GCGUUGGUCGUUUAAUGGUAGAUUGCUCUCCAACCAAUCAAGUGGUUUGGGAUCGAAUCCCAGCCAACGCA
This 71-nucleotide transfer RNA is filed under the name Trichobilharzia regenti. It matches the Rfam family "tRNA". From Rfam's summary of the family: Transfer RNA (tRNA) molecules are approximately 80 nucleotides in length. Their secondary structure includes four short double-helical elements and three loops (D, anti-codon, and T loops). Lineage: Eukaryota; Metazoa; Platyhelminthes; Trematoda; Strigeidida; Schistosomatidae. The record is from Rfam by way of RNAcentral.